AUGAACGCUGACAGAAUGCUUAACACAUGCAAGUCAACUUGAAUUUGGGUUUUUAACUUAGGUUUGGGUGGCGGACGGGUGAGUAACGCGUAAAGAACUUGCCUCACAGCUAGGGACAACAUUUGGAAACGAAUGCUAAUACCUAAUAUUAUGAUAAUAGGGCAUCCUAUAAUUAUGAAAGCUAUAAGCGCUGUGAGAGAGCUUUGCGUCCCAUUAGCUAGUUGGAGAGGUAACGGCUCGCCAAGGCGAUGAUGGGUAGCCGGCCUGAGAGGGUGAUCGGCCACAAGGGGACUGAGACACGGCCCUUACUCCUACGGGAGGCAGCAGUGGGGAAUAUUGGACAAUGGACCAAGAGUCUGAUCCAGCAAUUCUGUGUGCACGAUGAAGUUUUUCGGAAUGUAAAGUGCUUUCAGUUGGGAAGAAAGAAAUGACGGUACCAACAGAAGAAGUGACGGCUAAAUACGUG
RNAcentral lists this ribosomal RNA (466 nucleotides) under uncultured bacterium. RNAcentral describes it as "partial 16S ribosomal RNA". It matches the Rfam family "Bacterial small subunit ribosomal RNA", at positions 29 to 507 of the family's 1533-position model. The record is from RNAcentral.